GGGGGGAAGAGGAAGGUAAUUAACCACAAAAAAAAAUCCUCCGAGUACGCCGCUCAGUUACUGCUUUCCCAGUGUUCCCUUUAACUCCGAACCACUUCGCAGAACAAUCUGUGGAGUAUUUUGCAGCACUGAGUGCCUUGGAUCGCGGCACCGUCUCACCUCCUUACUCAGAGAGUCAGUCUGAUCGGCAGCGAGUCACAGGGAUCCGAGUCUCCAGAAGAGAAAGACGGACACACACACAGAGAGAGAGAGAGA
Long non-coding RNA from Callorhinchus milii (elephant shark), 255 nucleotides. RefSeq lists it as uncharacterized. The record is from RefSeq and is a predicted model, not a curated record. NCBI's taxonomy places the organism in Eukaryota, Metazoa, Chordata, Chondrichthyes, Chimaeriformes, Callorhinchidae. The transcript is spliced from 2 exons.